UACGGAGGGGGCAAGCGUUGUUCGGAAUUAUUGGGCGUAAAGGGCAUGUAGGCGGUUUAAUCUGUUAAAGGUGAAAUGCCAGGGCUUAACCCUGGAGCUUCCCUAAAACUGCCAGACUCGAGUCCGGGAGAGGAUAGCGGAAUUCCUAGUGUAGAGGUGAAAUUCGUAGAUAUUA
RNAcentral lists this ribosomal RNA (175 nucleotides) under uncultured Anaplasma sp. RNAcentral describes it as "partial 16S ribosomal RNA". It matches the Rfam family "Bacterial small subunit ribosomal RNA", at positions 524 to 699 of the family's 1533-position model. Lineage: Bacteria; Pseudomonadati; Pseudomonadota; Alphaproteobacteria; Rickettsiales; Anaplasmataceae. The record is from RNAcentral.